GGCAGUGUGCAUGGCAGUAUCGUAGCCAAUGAGGUUUAUCCGAGGCGCGAUUAUUGCUAAUUGAAAACUUUUCCCAAUACCCCUCCGUGACGACUUGCAAUAUGUCCUAUUCUUUAAAAAAAGGCUGUAAUUAAAUGUUUCGGGGAAUAAAGCAUUAAUGAAUA
Molecule: small nuclear RNA, 164 nt
Filed under: Callithrix jacchus (white-tufted-ear marmoset)
Lineage: Eukaryota; Metazoa; Chordata; Mammalia; Primates; Cebidae
Description: U4 spliceosomal RNA (ENSCJAG00000040357.3)
Rfam family: U4 spliceosomal RNA (bases 1-122)
About the family: U4 small nuclear RNA (U4 snRNA) is a component of the major U2-dependent spliceosome. The structure of U4 snRNA from yeast and human has been reported. U4 snRNA presents a k-turn RNA motif in the 5p-SL related to recognition of Snu13 protein.
Source: RNAcentral